CCUAAUAUCGAUUGUCUUCACGAAUGAUAAGUACAAAGGUAGCACUCUUGAGAUACAAGGAAGCAGUGCUCAGUUUGAAAGGGUUAGAGAAGUUGCUGUGGUUGGUGGCACCGGAAAAUUCCGUCUCGCGCGCGGUUACGUGAGUUUUGAAACGAUUCAUUACGAUGCUAAAAUUUACUAUGCAGUUAUUCAAUGCAAUGUUACUGUAUUGCACUACUGAAGGGCAUCAAGAUUUUCAUACAUUCAGACUUUGUAAUAAGUUCUAUUGGUAAGAUAAGAGAAAGGUUUCUGUAUUGAACCAUUAGUUCGUUCUUCUCAAUGUAUUUUGGUAACUUCUAAUAAGUUCUAUCGGUAGGAUAAGAGUUGACUUAUUCGCUAUUUGGAAUUACUAUUUGUUCUUAUUGCAGAAUUGAUUAAUGGUAACACUAGUAUACUUGGA
This 439-nucleotide long non-coding RNA is filed under the name Olea europaea subsp. europaea. Lineage: Eukaryota; Viridiplantae; Streptophyta; Magnoliopsida; Lamiales; Oleaceae. The record is from RNAcentral.